AGCGUAUAUUAAAGUUGUUGCAGUUAAAAAGCUCGUAGUUGAAUUUCGGGAUCAAUACGUCGGUCGUGCUUUCGGGUACGUACUGGCGUCAUUGGUUUCUCCUUUCUGACGAACCAUGAUGUCAUUAAUUUGGUGUUAUGGGGAGUUAGGACUGUUACUUUGAAAAAAUUAGAGUGUUCAAAGCAGGCAUUAGCUUGAAUACAUUAGCAUGGAAUAAUGAAAUAGGACGUUCGAUCCUAUUUUGUUGGUUUCUAGGAUCAACGUAAUGAUUAAUAGGGAUAGUUGGGGGCAUUAGUAUUCAAUUGUCAGAGGUGAAAUUCUUGGAUUUAUUGAAGACUAACUACUGCGAAAGCAUUUGCCAAGGAUGUUUUCAUUAAUCAAGAACGAAAGUUAGGGGAUCGAAGACGAUCAGAUACCGUCGUAGUCUUAACCAUAAACUAUGCCGACUAGGGAUCGGAUGAUGUUAAUUUUUUAAUGACUCAUUC
RNAcentral lists this ribosomal RNA (485 nucleotides) under uncultured Glomeromycotina. Its description in RNAcentral is "SSU rRNA". It matches the Rfam family "Eukaryotic small subunit ribosomal RNA", at positions 596 to 1081 of the family's 1831-position model. Lineage: Eukaryota; Fungi; Glomeromycota. The record is from RNAcentral.